Molecule: ribosomal RNA, 442 nt
Filed under: uncultured bacterium
Lineage: Bacteria
Description: partial 16S ribosomal RNA
Rfam family: Bacterial small subunit ribosomal RNA
Source: RNAcentral
CCUACGGGUGGCAGCAGUAGGGAAUCUUUCACAAUGGGCGAAAGCCUGAUGGAGCAACGCCGCGUGCAGGAUGAAGGCCUUCGGGUUGUAAACUGCUUUUAUAAGCGAGAAAUAUGAUGGUAACUUAUGAAUAAGGAUCGGCUAACUACGUGCCAGCAGCCGCGGUCAUACGUAGGAUCCGAGCAUUAUCCGGAGUGACUGGGUGUAAAGAGUUGCGUAGGUGGCAUAAUAAGUAGCUAGUGAAAUCUGGUGGCUCAACCAUUCAGACUAUUAGCUAAACUGUUAAGCUCGAGACCGUUAGUGGUAACUGGAAUUUGUAGUGUAGGGGUGAAAUCCGUAGAUAUUAGAAAGAACACCAAUAGCGUAGGCAGGUUGCUGGGACGGUUCUGACACUAAGGCACGAAAGCGUAGGGAGCAAACGGGAUUAGAUACCCUUGUAGUC